AUGAACUGCCUCCCAAAACAUCCGGAGGAAAGACCCGGCAACUCAUCCAUGGUUCUCCACAGCAACAAGGGAGCACAUGUGACCGUUUGGCGUCUCUAUCUGCCACAGACAAAGCACGCCCCGCUCCAAUGUUCCGGACGAUCUCAAGUCCUCCUCCAUUUCCAUGUCUCAGAGUUGGUUUUGCAAUGGCUGGAUGCACAGUAAAGUAGGACGCCCUAUGGUCCUGUCACUGCAGGUAAAUCAGAAAGUCUCGUUAUCCAUUC
Molecule: long non-coding RNA, 263 nt
Filed under: Scophthalmus maximus (turbot)
Lineage: Eukaryota; Metazoa; Chordata; Actinopteri; Pleuronectiformes; Scophthalmidae
Description: lncRNA (ENSSMAG00000028577.1)
Source: RNAcentral